RNAcentral lists this ribosomal RNA (232 nucleotides) under uncultured bacterium. RNAcentral describes it as "partial 16S ribosomal RNA". It matches the Rfam family "Bacterial small subunit ribosomal RNA", at positions 118 to 348 of the family's 1533-position model. The record is from RNAcentral.
UGAGGAACAUGACCUUCGGCGGGGGAUAGCCGGCCCAACGGCCGGGUAAUACCGCGUACGACCACAUGGGGACAUCCCUGAGUGGUGAAAGCAGCAAUGCGCCGAUGGAGUGCCUCGCGGCCUAUCAGCUAGUUGGUGAGGUAACGGCUCACCAAGGCGACGACGGGUANCUGGUCUGAGAGGAUGGCCAGCCACACUGGAACUGAGAUACGGUCCAGACCUNUACCGGGAG